This 497-nucleotide ribosomal RNA is filed under the name uncultured bacterium. RNAcentral's name for it is "partial 16S ribosomal RNA". It matches the Rfam family "Bacterial small subunit ribosomal RNA", at positions 899 to 1397 of the family's 1533-position model. The record is from RNAcentral.
ACUCAAAGGAAUUGACGGGGGCCCGCACAAGCGGUGGAGUAUGUGGUUUAAUUCGAAGCAACGCGCAGAACCUUACCUGGUCUUGACAUCCGGUGACCGCGGCAGAGAUGUCGUUUUCCCUUCGGGGACACCGAGACAGGUGCUGCAUGGCUGUCGUCAGCUCGUGUUGUGAAAUGUUCGGUUAAGUCCGGCAACGAGCGCAACCCCUGUCCUUAGUUACCAUCAUUAAGUUGGGGACUCUAGGGAGACUGCCGAUGUUAAAUCGGAGGAAGGCGGGGAUGACGUCAAGUCCUCAUGGCCCUUACGACCAGGGCUACACACGUACUACAAUGGCAGAAACAAAGGGUUGCAGAGCCGCAAGGUGAAGCUAAUCCCAAAAACACUGUCUCAGUCCGGAUUGUAGUCUGCAACUCGACUACAUGAAGUUGGAAUCGCUAGUAAUCGCAGAUCAGCACGCUGCGGUGAAUACGUUCCCGGGCCUUGUACACACCGCCCGU